GGACCCGUAGCUCAGUUGGUUAGAGCGCCCGGCUCAUAACCGGGAUGUCAUCGGUUCAAAUCCGGUCGGGUCCACCA
This 77-nucleotide transfer RNA is filed under the name Methanobacteriota archaeon. RNAcentral's name for it is "Euryarchaeota archaeon tRNA-Met". It matches the Rfam family "tRNA". Rfam says of the family: Transfer RNA (tRNA) molecules are approximately 80 nucleotides in length. Their secondary structure includes four short double-helical elements and three loops (D, anti-codon, and T loops). The record is from RNAcentral. Lineage: Archaea; Methanobacteriati; Methanobacteriota.